AAUAUUUGCUGAUCUUUUCCAAAGACAGCAGGUGCUUAUUGCGUAAAGAGCUUAUUGUUCUGCCUGCCGAGGAAGGUGACUUGCAAAGCCUGCAUUUUUCUGUGUAUGGUACUUUCAGGCCCUUUCCGGUAUGCGGAAAGGGCCUUUUUACAUCUCAUU
Molecule: regulatory RNA element, 159 nt
Rfam family: Ribosomal protein L10 leader
About the family: This family is a putative r-protein leader autoregulatory structure found in B. subtilis and other low-GC Gram-positive bacteria. It is located in the 5' untranslated regions of mRNAs encoding ribosomal proteins L10 and L12 (rplJ-rplL).
Source: Rfam